ACGGAAGUCGUUACGAAAUGGAAUGAAGAUUUAUCUGAUUGAAGUUUUGUAACAAUGGCUUUAGUGGCGGACUGGUGAGUAACACAUAAGCAAUCUACCUAUUAGAGGGGAAUAACAAUGAGAAAUCAUUGCUAAUACCGCAUAAGCCUGUAGUACCGCAUGGUACAGCAAGAAAAGGAGCAAUCCGCUAAUAGAUGAGCUUGCGGCUGAUUAGCUAGUUGGUGUGGUAACGGCAUACCAAGGCAACGAUCAGUAGCCGGGCUGAGAGGCUCUUCGGCCACAUUGGGACUGAGAUACGGCCCAGACUCCUACGGGAGGCAGCAGUCGGGAAUUUUGCGCAAUGGAGGAAACUCUGACGCAGUGACGCCGCGUAUAGGAAGAAGGUUUUCGGAUUGUAAACUAUUUUAGUCAGGGAAGAAAAAUGACAGUACCUGAAGAAUAAGCUCCGGCUAACUACGUGCCAGCAGCCGCGGUAAUACGUAGGGAGCAAGCGUUAUCCGGAUUUAUUGGGUGUAAAGGGUGCGUAGACGGGAAGACAAGUUGGUUGUGAAAGCCCUCGGCUCAACUGAGGAACUGCAACCAAAACUAUCAUUCUUGAGUGCGGGAGAGGAAAGUGGAAUUCCUAGUGUAGCGGUGAAAUGCGUAGAUAUUAGGAGGAACACCAGUGGCGAAGGCGACUUUCUGGACCGUAACUGACGUUGAGGCACGAAAGUGUG
Molecule: ribosomal RNA, 716 nt
Filed under: uncultured bacterium
Lineage: Bacteria
Description: bacterial SSU rRNA
Rfam family: Bacterial small subunit ribosomal RNA
Source: RNAcentral